GUCGGUCAGGCAUGACUUGACAUCUCCGAGUGGGGGCAUUAAGGUGAUGUGGACACUGUUAUAGUGUUGCUGGCCUGGUUUGGGUGUGCUACUGCUGGCCCGCCUGUUCCAAGUUGUGUAGUGGGCUGCUUGGGGCCUAUGCGAAAGCUGGGCCUCACGGUCCAUAAUAUGGGAGGCACAGCAUGAGGUUGGCUUCACAGAGCAGCGACAACUACCCGCUUCCAACGGUGGAAGGAUAACGGGCCGCUGCACUCCUAGGCCACUUGGGCCUCGCAGCCUACUCCAGUGGACCAUCACUUUU
RNAcentral lists this signal recognition particle RNA (301 nucleotides) under Triticum aestivum (bread wheat). RNAcentral's name for it is "SRP RNA Plant_SRP". It matches the Rfam family "Plant signal recognition particle RNA". Lineage: Eukaryota; Viridiplantae; Streptophyta; Magnoliopsida; Poales; Poaceae. The record is from Rfam by way of RNAcentral.